Molecule: ribosomal RNA, 467 nt
Filed under: uncultured bacterium
Lineage: Bacteria
Description: partial 16S ribosomal RNA
Rfam family: Bacterial small subunit ribosomal RNA
Source: RNAcentral
GAUGAACGCUGGCGGCGUGCUUAACACAUGCAAGUCGAACGGAAAGGCCCAAGCUUGCUUGGGUACUCGAGUGGCGAACGGGUGAGUAACACGUGGGUGAUCUGCCCUGCACUUCGGGAUAAGCUUGGGAAACUGGGUCUAAUACCGGAUAGGACCUCAUUUUGGAUGGUGUGGUGGAGAGUGUUUCGGUGUGGGGUGAGCUCGCGGCCUAUCAGCUUGUUGGUGGGGUAAUGGCCUACCAAGGCGUCGACGGGUAGCCGGCCUGAGAGGGUGUACGGCCACAUUGGGACUGAGAUACGGCCCAGAGUCCUGAGGGAGGCAGGAGUGGGGAAUAUUGGACAAUGGGCGCAGGCGUGAUGCAGAGACGCCGCGUGGGGGGUGAGGGCCUUCGGGUUGUAAAUUCCUUUCGCUAGGGACGCGGCGUUUUUGUGACGGUACCUGGAGAAGAAGCACCGGCUAACUACGUG